UUGGCUGAGGUUGGAUCUUGGGUGAGGUUUGGAUCUUGAAUGGUUGGGACUUGGAUCAUGGUUGGAUCUUGGAUGAGGUUCAGAUCAUGGUUGGAUCUUGGAUCACGUCUGGAUCUUGGAUGGUUGGAUUCUGGAUGAGGUUGGACCUUGGAUGAGGUUUGGAUCUUGGAUAGCUGGAUCUUGAAUGAGGUUGGAUCUCGGGUGAGGUUUGGUUCUUGGAUGAGGUUUGGAUCUUGAAUGGUUGAAAUUUGAAUCAUGGUUGGACCUUGGAUGAGGCUGCAAUUUUGGAUGGUUGGAAUUGGGAUGGUUGUAUGUUGGAUGGUUGGACCUUGGAUGAGGUUUGGACCUUGGAUGGUUGGAUUUUGGAUGAGGUUUGGACCUUGGAUGAGGUUUGGACCUUGGAUGGUUGGAUCUUGGAUGAAGUUUGGCUCUUGGAUCACGUUGGGCCCUUGGCUGAGGUUCAGAACCCUUUUUUGGCUACAAAGAUCCAAAUUUCCGGUGGGGAUGGAGCCGAACCCGCGGAUUCUCCUGGAAAUACGAGGGGACGGAACAAAACCAGACUGAUUCCGAA
Parus major (Great Tit) is the source of this 571-nucleotide long non-coding RNA. RefSeq lists it as uncharacterized. Lineage: Eukaryota; Metazoa; Chordata; Aves; Passeriformes; Paridae. The transcript is spliced from 2 exons. The record is from RefSeq and is a predicted model, not a curated record.